GGCAUGGUGGCUUAGUGGUUAGCAUGCUUGCCUCGCACCUCCGGGGUUGGGGGUUUGAUUCCCACCUCUGCCC
Molecule: non-coding RNA, 73 nt
Organism: Pangasianodon gigas (Mekong giant catfish)
Lineage: Eukaryota; Metazoa; Chordata; Actinopteri; Siluriformes; Pangasiidae
Source: the annotation of a GenBank genome assembly